CGUUUUGGUUCUUUAAUUCCUCCCCCCCCCCAAAAAAAAUCAAGACUAAACUCUUCUUCCAACCAAAAAAAAAGAAGAACAAAACGAAAAAUCGCUCUCUACCGACGUUUCACGCUGUGAUUCGAAUCACACCAAACUCUCAAUAGCUUCGUCGAUCAUGUUAUCGACUUUCAGCUGGUCAGAGAUCAGAAUUUGCACCCAGUUUUUCUAAUAGGAUGGGUUGAUUGAUUCCGCUGCUCUACUGCAUUUUAUCAUAAAUCAAGAAGGGAAUUUUAUGUGCUGCAGCGGAGGGGAAUGCUUCUGUUGAGAAAGUGGGUGUGUAAAUCAUCCAUUGAUUAUGCUAAGAAUACAACGGAGAAAUGGAAGCACUAGAUUGUUCAAUGACCAUGUUCAAGUGCACGUGCUGACAUAGGACUGUAUCAAGGAGGUUUCAGAAUGGAGAGCACGAUGAUGAUUGCAAUGAUGAGAAGGAUGAUGAUGGAGAUGAUCAUGCACUUUCUUGAUUUCUUCUGCAAGCUUUUAGCAUGAUGGAGAGCAUCUGUUCCCAUGUUCACGUGGUCUACUGCACUCAUCACCUAUAAACACCCACCACAUAGAUUUCAAAAUCCAAGUGUAACGAUUUAACAUGGUAUGCAGGAGACCCAAUUAGAUUUCUUGUUUAUGCAUGUUGCAAUUAGUUGCUGGCAUGGUUGAUUAGGAGUUCAUAUGUGUAUGUGUGUGUACAUAACCUAACUUGACUCCUACCUAUAUGAGUGUGAAAUGUGAACCUGAGAUUUGUUCUCUUAUGUACACAUUGUAUAUAUCUUUUUAGAGCUUGUUUUA
Long non-coding RNA from Carica papaya (papaya), 822 nucleotides. RefSeq lists it as uncharacterized. NCBI's taxonomy places the organism in Eukaryota, Viridiplantae, Streptophyta, Magnoliopsida, Brassicales, Caricaceae. The record is from RefSeq and is a predicted model, not a curated record.